RNAcentral lists this long non-coding RNA (325 nucleotides) under Penaeus chinensis. Its description in RNAcentral is "uncharacterized LOC125046172". The record is from RNAcentral. Lineage: Eukaryota; Metazoa; Arthropoda; Malacostraca; Decapoda; Penaeidae.
GCGACCUUUUAUAGAAGUGGCAGUUAUUGGGCACAAGUCUUUACACUCAUGAAGGUAUGUUUAAGGAUGUUGAAGGGUUCAAAUAAAUUCAGAGGGGAUGAUACUCAUUAAUAUUGAAAAUACACGGAGCAUGAGUUUGUUGUGUUGGCGUCGACCAUAAUGUGGUUUGUUUACUUUCAUAUGGAUUUCAGCCAGUGUUAUAUCCAAUGCUGUGGAUAUGGGUUUGUGCCGUAACUGAGACGUGAUGGCAACUACUGGGAAUCAUGGACUGUGAUAGUGUGGCCAUUGAAGUUGAAACUUUGCUCCAAUAAAAGACUGUUGCAGC